Molecule: long non-coding RNA, 10550 nt
Filed under: Gallus gallus (chicken)
Lineage: Eukaryota; Metazoa; Chordata; Aves; Galliformes; Phasianidae
Source: RNAcentral
GCCGGCGGCAGGGGGCACGCGGGCCGCCCUCUGCGCCUCGGAGCAAUCAGCAAGAGCCUUGACAAGUGCUGCCAUAAGGAUCUGACUAUCUGGCUUUUUUGAAUGAUUCCUGAAGGCUGCGAUUCAAUGUCUCCAUGUAAUGGAAUUGAUUUCCUUCAGUUAAGUUGGUUUCUCCCUUGGUUUUCUGUGAUGGCUUUAACCUGCAGCGCCAUGAGCAGGCAAUGUGAAGGCUGUGGUUGGUGACUCAUGGCAUUAGUUUUGCCUCUGGCAUUGCUACGGAAAAUCCAUUUCCGUCCAAACUGAAGCUGUCUGUUGAGCGUUAUGUAGUGUGCUGCCUUCGUUUUCUUUUCAAUGAAAAGCUCUUCCAUCUAGAAAUACACGUUCAGACUCUUGCAUUCCAGGUAUGUUUCUGGGGAAGACUGGAAAUACUUUUAACCUUCUCCUCACGGAAUGUAUGAAGGCUGCUCCGAAAGUAAUGCCUCCUAUUUAUUCCCAUGGAAACUGCAACAGUUACAAAGAGUACAGUAACACCGUUUGAUAGAACAAAUUCUCAGCUACAAAGCACUAUUUUUCAACAUGGUCGCCAUCAUUAGCUAUGCAUUUUCACCCGUGAUGCACAAGAGCCUGUCCAGAACAUAGCUUAUCUUUCACGUUGCUGUUGAAAUGCACCACGCACCCACUCACUGUUCUCACAUCCACUGUUUUGUCUCCAUAAAUGUUCAGCAAGCGUCCAUGAAUGUCAGUGGGUGCCAUUUUUUCUGCGUGGAGAAAUCUGAUGAGACACCUUUCUUUCAUUCACCCUGCCUUGUCACAGACCAUUGUAUACGACUGUCCCUCUGCUGCCAUCUGUCACAUGGCAAUAACAUGUAACAGAAUAUUGGUAGGAAGGUUCAACCUCCACUGCCGUACCACCAGCAUCUACCUCUGAUGUUGUGGGCCAACAUAAUAAAAUAGGAGGCAUUACUUUUGGAGCAGGCCUUGCAUUUAGGGAGACAUUCCUCAAGGAUCAGUUUGACAUGGAUGCGUGAGGCAGGAACUCUUGAAUUUCACCGUGUCGAACAUCCAGGUCUUGGUGCCUGUGAGAUGAGUUUUCUCUUCUAAACAGUGGAAGUUAUCUCCUCUCCGCCUUCUUUCUGCCUGCCUUUCAUCCCAGCAAGGCAGGAAACUGGCUUUGCUAAUUCUUUAGAGAUCUCUGUGGCUUCCUAUCACUUACCUACCAGGUCUUUCUCCAGUAAUCUAUGAAGUCUUCUGUGAUGACAAGUGAGAAAUCUGGUGAUUGCUGCACAUCAGGUAUCAGUCGUGGAAGGCACACUCUGGUCUGGGAGCUGGAGGCAGGAAGCUCCUUGGCCUGUAAUCCUACAUUUCUACUUUAACAGCACAUACAAUUUGAGAUAGCUGUGAGCAAACGAAGCUGAAGGUUGGAAUUCAUGAAAAGAGAAGCGUUGUUUUUGCUAAUUGGCUAACAUCUGAAGGGUUUGGCAAUGUGAUUACCAGCUGCUAUAGUCUGCAAUUGAUGUCACCUUCUCUUUGUAUAUAAACAUUAGUCAUUUGCUAAAGAAUGUGAAAAACAGGUGUUCCCUGUUCAUUGGAAACCUAUUCUUUUAAUGGGAUACUAUAAGAUAGCACCUGACAUAGAACAAUCCCUCGUAUGUUUGCUGUUAUUAACAUAAACACACUUGAACAGUUCCUUAUGCGGUGCCAUUGGUAUGCGUAGCACAGCAAAGAUAAACAAAAUGACAGAUGCCUAAACCAGAUGAAACUACAAUUAACCUAAUGACAGACAAAAAUAAAGGAAGUGUGGCAGGAAAAUGUGAAGGAACAUAAAAAUCACUGCAAGCUGCACUCGUUAGCUUUGUUUUUUUCUUUUUAAAGAAGUACUUCUACAGUUUGUAGCCAAUACAGGAAGUGAAGGUUGAAGCUGUAACCUUGCAGAGGGAAAUUUGGCUUCCAGACGUGACUCUUUGAAAAGGUUUUGGAAUACAGGAGUGCUCUGCACACAGGAUGAGAAAAGACAUUGAAGAAUAAGCAGUAUGCAUGGAAAAUAACCCACAGUGAUUAGCGGAAAAAGGGAAUAAAGCUAUGUCCCAUAGGCGUGCCCUCUGGAGAGCUUCAACUCAACCUUCUUAUCAGCUGUAGAGCGCAGCAGGAAAAUUGGUACUGUGGCUCUGUAUGCACUCAAACUGGUAUGUUUAGCUUGAAUUUCCACGAACAGAUUUCUUUAGAAAAUUUCGAAUUUGUGCACAAGAUUAAAUUCAAUAGGCAUUAAAUAAAAUAUACCUAAAUGAGAACGUACUAAUAAAAAGCAGCUAUUUGUCUACAGCAAGCUUUAAACGUUCCCAAGCAGCGUGCUCAAGGACAUUCACAUGGAGCUGCUUUGGCAGAGCAGAGGCUCGCUAGGUCAGAACAAGGCUCCCUGCUUCCAUCAGUAGAGCUGCUGAGUGCAGGCAGAGCACUGGAUUCACCCAGUGGGCUCUGGGUGCCCCAAGCCAGCCCAAGGGCCAGCAGCUCAGCUCCCGCUCUCACACCCCCAUGGGAUCCAGUUAUCAUAAAACUGUGUUCUGAAGAUAAAAAAUGAUCCAAGGGAUGGAACAUCUCCCCUAUGAGGACAGGCUGAGGGAGCUGAGGAUUUUCAGCCUGGAGAAGAGAAGGCUCCAGGGAGACCUGGUAGUGGCCUUUGAGUAUCAAAAGAGGGGCUGUAAGAAAGAAGGGAACAGACUCUUUUGCGGGGUCUGCUGUGAUAGAAAAUGGGAAAAUGGUUUCAAACUAAAAGAGGGAAUAUAAGGAAGAAGCUUUUAAGAAUAAGGAUGGUGAGGCACUGGCACAGGUUGCUCAGAGAGGUGGCGGAUGCCCCAUCCCUGGAGAUACUCAAGCUGAGGCUGAAUGGGGCUCUGAGCACCUGAUGGAGCUGUAGGUGUGCCUGUCCAUUGCAGGGGAGUUGGACUUGAUGGCCUUUAAGGGUCCCUUCCAACUUAACGCAUUCUAAGAUUUAUGAAGAUUAGAGGGGAAGCUUUGAAGAUUGAGGUUACAAUGAGAUGAGGCAUGCUCAGAACAACACAGUUCCAAAUUAAAAGUAAGGUUAAUUUUUGUUCUCAUAAUCAGAGUUACGUUUUUAAUGCAGGAGAUAGACAACUACCUAACAGUGCGGAACGCUCAGCUGCGGGUGAGCAAUCAAGCAGUGCCCCAGUAGAGCUAAAACAUUUUGCUGGGUUUGUGACAGCAUCUUUUUUUCUCUUUUUUUUUUUUGGUCUGUCACAAAUUGCCAUCGUCUCACAGCCAAAAUUGUUGGAAUUUUUUCCAUUGUGCACGAAGCAUUUUUAAACAAUAAUUCCAUCUAUUCUUAGCGAGAUGUUCUUUGGUGUGAAUUCUAUCUAUUGUUAGAAAGUGCUUUUGAGAAAAUAUGAUUCUAAUCUUAUGGCUUUUUGCCUUGAUAUCAAGAGACUUACUACCAAAUAUGCAGUCAUAUCUUUUGUUAAUAGAACCAAGUUACAGGAUCUAUUCAUAGAGCAGUAAUAAAUAAUGGUGGCAGCGGGGAGGGAUAUAUGUCAUUUUAGUUCUAGAAAACUGAUACUCCCAAAGGAUAAUGAUAUGAGGAAAAUUAGCUGCUGUCAACCUAGUUCAUAUAUAGUCUGUAUUGUAGGGAAAAAAGAAUGUAUUGGAAUAAACUCUGUGGAAAGAAAAAUGACAUUUAUAAGUAAGUUUUUCCAGCCAAAAGCCAUUUUUUUUCUAUUUCAGCCCCAAAGUGCACCCCUGACAUUUGCAUCGAGGGGCAUAUUUAGAUAUUUAGUGCAGUACAGUCCCAAAACUUUAUCAGAACGUUGGAAGCUGUUGUAAACAAGGAAACCAAAGUCAGGAGUCUCGCAGCAGAAAAGAGAACACCACCUGAAAUGGUUGCUGCUCAGUGUCUAGGCUUUCCUUUAUUCCCAUGGCAGAGUACAGGCCAUGCUAAGCAAGCUGAUCAAAACUGCAGAGGAGCUAGUGGUGGGAGAAAAACACAUCAUCAUAAUGUAUGCCAAGUGGAGGGUGGCAGGGAGACCCAACGGAGUGCCAUGCCUUUCACAUACACAACUUUCACAUUCUGAAUAAUUGUAACUUCCCUCAGUGUGACUCCCACAUUGCUCUAUCAGACCUGAUAAUGAAGUUAAAUCAGUCCAGUCCUCGAUCUCCGAUUUAGGCAGAUGUUAAAAUGAUAUCUCACCGCUUCUCAUGCACAUCUCAUGCGCUGUUUUUGGGGUGUUUGGGUUUUUUGUGCUGAUUUGGUUCCAGGGAACAUGCAACGACCUACAGAUUUGUUUCCCUAAUCGUGUCAGCUAUUGGCAGUACUGGUGUCCAAGACCUGUAAACCAAGGAAUAGUUUUGUGUGCAGCCCACUUUUUGAGGACAGCCAGGCCAGAAAGCUGUGCAUGGCAGACUGGAUGUCUGUAGGAGCCAGCAACUGUGAAUACAAAAAAGCUGCAGUCCCUCAACUUCUCCCCACAGGUUUCCCCUGGCAAUCCUGGCAUUGGAUCUUGUGAAGGAAACACCUGGCCCUUGGACUACACAAAGUCUAACAUCAGAGGCGCCAAUCAGCGCUGUGAUGUUAUGCAUUCCAAAAGCUGAAAGCGUCUGGCGAAUGAAGCAAGAAACUGCACAAAGGGAAAGUCUGGUGAUUCAGUCAGCUGCUCCAUGCCCAGAGAAGUGGCCUACGGCCCUGCCCUUCCCACAGCACUCUCCAUUCCUCAUGCUGGUGGCCAGCCAUCUACUACAGACAUUACUGAAGAGCAGUACUUGCAUCGUCGCCUUUAGGCAACUGAAAAGUAUGACUGACAUAAAAAUCCAGAGCUUUCAAAUCCAGAGGCCCUCAUUGCUGGUAGAAACAAGAGAGGGAAAUAUAUUCAUAUUCUAGACAGGCACUAGAGAGAGGUUCUCUGCUUAAAACUGGACUAAAUCUCCAGCUUCAUAUGUCAACAUGAAGGGAGGAGUAACUCAGCACUGCUCUCUCCAGCAUCACAAGGCUCUGAAGGUACUGCCUCUGACAGACUUUUUUUCUCUGAGUGGAUGAGUUAUUGAUCAAGUAAGAGAUAAAAAAAAUAGGCACUUACUUUGUGCCACAUUGCUCUGAUCAGUGAUAGAAGCUCACUGCUGGAUACCGAUCUUAAUACAAUCUCAUGAACUCAGCAGAUCCUUUUCCUUAGUCUGCACUAAUGUCAUAUUAAGUGUCUUUGUGUUUUUUACCAUAUUAAGCAUUUCUGAAACUUGAAGAUUGAUUUUGGUUUGAUUUUAAAGGGCUGAGAGAUUUUAGAAUUAGAUUUUAAUAGCCAAUUAUAGAUUAUUAAACAGUGGAAAAAAUUUAAAGCCAUUAAAAUAAUCUUUUAAACCUUCCUUAAAAUUACAUGCGAUCCACUGAGAAUAUUCGUCCAGCUGUAUUUGAAAAAUAUUAAUUGGAAGUCAGUGCAAAUAUAAAUGCUAAUGUGAACUUAACCAGAACGUGAGGGUUUCUGAACUGGAAAAGCUCUCAGAGCACACAGAAGUCACCUGUCAAGGUGGUUUUGGGACAACCAUAUGUACUAUGGGAUGACGGAGGGCAAAAAUUACGGAGGGCCACUAUGUGACUAAUUCUGCUUACUUCUAUUUUGUUUGUUUGAACAUCAGAAAUUCCUCACACGUAUCCUGUGUCUUCCAGUGAUUUGUUACACCUCUGUAAAAUACUGAUUUCAUUCCUAAGGGUGUUUCUGCCUUUAAAGAGCAGUAUCUGUCUGGCUCAGUUGGCAGUGCUGACCAGAAUAAAAACAAACAAACAACAAAAAACGAAAAUAAAUGAACAAAUAAAUGAAAAACAUCCCUGAUCAAAUAUCAGUAACUGUUACAGAACAGGAACUAAAAGAGGGGAGAUUUAGGUUAGAUGUUAGGAGGAAAUGCUUUCCCCAGAGGGCAGUGAGGUGCUGACACAGCUGCCCAGAGAAGCUGUGGUGCCCCAUCCCUGGAGGCACUCAAGGCCAGGUUGGAUGGGGCCCUGGGCAGCCUGAGCUGGUGGGGGGCAGCCCUGCCCACAGCAGGGUUGGAGUAGGGUGGGCUGUGAGGUUCCUUCCAACCCAAAUCAUUCUGUAAUUCUAUGAUUAUGAAUGUUAUAUUUCAAUUAAUGUUAUCAUAACAAUGCUAUGGAUAUGAUUUUUCUUAUCUCAGCUUGCUGGGGAAUAGUGUAAAGAAUUUUCUGAAUGGGUAUAGCCUUUGGGGUGCCUGAGAUAAAGUAUUUUCACACACAUCCACCCCAUGUGAAACGUGCAGAAAGCCAAAAUAAACCACUGAAUUGGAUUUUGCCUUCGCUUCAGGAAGGACAGAAUAGUAGGGACUAUUUCUCAUACUUGAUCGCUAAUUUGUUGGCCAGUCAUUGUGGCAAUUAAGGAAAAAUGAUCACCUCAGUCCAAGCUGAGUGAAAUAAAGGGGAGAUUUCUUGUUAUGGCUGGGAAAAUCACAGAAAGCAUCACAGAAAUACAGAAGGAGCUAUGAUGGAUAUGCAUGGAGAAGACAGAGAACAAAUGCAGCAAAUAGGAAGCAUCAACUACUGAUAUGACAGAGAUUCAGAAUCACAGAAUGUCUUAGGUUGGGAGGGACAUCAAAGCCUACCCAGUCCCAACCCCUGCUGUGAACAGGGCUGCCCUCCACCAGCUCAGACUGCCCAGGGCCCCAUCCAACUUGGCCUUGAGCACCUCCAGGGAUGGGGCACCACAGCUUCUCUGGGCAAAUGAGAGGUAAUGUUCCCAAAAUGACUAGAUAAAGAUCUUUGCCAUAUUUAUUGUGGAUGACAAAACAAUUGGAUUAAUUCAAUAGAGAAAAUCCCACAGGAGCUGUUAAGUACAAGGAUAUCAGCUCUGGGUUGGACCAUCCUUUGCUGGAGAUUGGAAGACAGUUGUUGAAAAAUGUCGCUGUAGUUCUGAUUUGUUCUUCCAUGGGAAACUGCCAGCAGCCACAGUUAGGAACGUGAUGCUGGGCUGGAUGAACGUUGGUUUGACUUGCUACAGUCGAUCUCAGAGUUUUCAUAGCACGUUUCCAGUACCACAAUCACAAUGUUCACUGCAAGCGUUAUUCUCCUAUUACUGAACUGGAACGUAUAUUUACUGGUGUGCAUGCAAAUGGGAAUGUUUCUUUAGAAGAAGAAUGGAGGAGAUUGUGGGAGGUGGUUUUGUGUUGUUUACUUCCCUCAGAGUAUGCAGCGCCACAGACAAUACAUCUUUGGAUGGAAAUAAAAAAAUGUGCUUUUGUAAAACAAAAUUGGGUAUAUUCUGCACAGCAAACAUCUUGUGCUGAAAUAAAUAUCUCUUGGGUGAUGUCAGUAUGAGAACAAGCACCACAGUGUUGUUGAAGUACUACUGGGAGUCACUGAGCAAAUGUGCCGGCGAACACUGCAGAAGCCUAUAUAUGGUAAUUUAUCUAAAAAUCUCCCUAUUUCUGUUUUUAAAAAGUUUUAUGCAGGAGAAUGAAUAUGUCUACCAUCUUUCAAGGCAGCACAAGACAUGCACCAGCCCUCAGACCCCACAGCCUUCCAGCAAGCGCUCCAACAGCGAGAUGGGGCCUCCCUCCCAUGGACAGGAGGGGAGGCAAAACCAGGACCUGCUGGGGCCGAGAAGUUGGGUCUGUGGCUGACAGGUGUAUUAAAGCAUGCUGGCAUGAAAUGUCAGUUUUUCUUCUAGUGAAUAAACAGUUUCUUUCUUUAUGGUAACUGGUGACAGUGACAGAAGUAGCACAAAACUAUUAUUGCAGACACUGAAGCUAGGAUAGUAUGGGCUAAAUAUAGUACUAUAUGCCUAAGGUUAUAAUCUCGUGGAGUUGAAAUGUAUUUCACAUGCUUGAGUUUACAGUGUUCUCUGCUUGCAUCAACGCAGGUUCUCCCUUGCACUUCACCACCUCCUCCUCUCACCCUUGGGCCCUCUAGCUCUCCGAACUCCAUUUUGUUCUGGGCACAUGACAAGUCUGAGCUCAGACUGAGACUGUUUCUCAACGUUUUUUUUUUUUUUUAAUAAGAAUUAAUAGCAGCAUGAAUAAUGAGGCAGAAGGAAUAACGUGCCAGUAUACAAUCAUGCUGCAAAUGGUUCAAACCAUUAAACCAUUUUAGGUCCUCUGUGGCCAAUUGCUGGGACCUGGAUGGAGGAGGAAAAAACAAUCGCAUUCUGCCAGAAGUUGUUAAAUUCCUGCGAGCGAAUGCGGUCCUGACUUAAUUAUCACUUCCAAGAGCCUAUUUAUAGUUGUCUGGGAAAGCACUUAAGAGAAAUAGGCUUAAGUUUGCAAACAGAGUAAGUGGAUGAGUAUUCCCAGCAAAGACAGAGAGGGGAGAGGCAACCCCCUGCCCUUCCAGUCCUCCUAGUGGGAUGUCAGCGCAGGAAUUCCAUGCUGAUGGGACCAGCUCCUUGGCUCACCAAGUUCCUACAUGGAAUUUUAGAGAUUCGAAAUCAUAAAUGUUGCACAACUUACUGAUGAGCUUCAAACUUGGAAGUUUCCUGGGACAGAACAGCCCCCAGGAUGGCAUACAAAGCAUUUCUUGGGUCUCCAGGACAAACAUAUACAUACACAUAUAUAUAUAUAAAAAGCUUCACAUAAUUAUAAACAUCCAAAAUGCUUUGAUAGAUGACAUGCUAAAUCUGUACAUGUAAAUGGUUAGCAGGCUGGGGCUGCAGUAUGAAUAACUGAAUUUGUCCAGGGAAACAUGGCCAGUGGGAUUUCCUGAGUACAAGCACUUACACUGGUCUCAGCAAGCAAAUACUGACAGCUGAUAAAUAAGCACAGAGAAAUGGUAUAUGGGAAUGGUAUAUGGGAACGAGGAAGAGAAAUUUACAUUGCCUUUAUCCCAGGCCUUUUGGAGACAAAUGAGUAGGUGCUAUGAAAUGGAGAGUCAGAGCGGGACGUGAAAGCUGCCUGUAAGCAGGCCUGCACAUGCAGAGGAAUUGAUUUAUAGUCAAAUCCAUUGCUACAGUUAUUUAAUACCUAACUACUGCGUAUUUCAUAAUUUCUCUGCUUGUAGCUGAUAAACUCUUAUUAAGCUGUGAAGCAUGGAGGAGUAGCAUAUCUUACUGUUUCUACGUAACGUGGUAUCUUUACAAUGUUCCAUUCAAUAACUCUACCUGUAUAAUGUGUAUUAAAUCAAUUUGGUCAUGCCAUGGAAUUUCAAAUUUGCAGUACAAAAGCACAUUACAUACGUAUUUCAGUGUUUUAUGGGCAUAAUUGUGUGUGAACAAAUAGCUACAUAUACAUUUUAUUGCACCAAGUAUCUUAAGCACUUAAUUUGCACUCAUGCAAAGGCUAACUACAGCCUCAACCCUUGAACUAACAACUCUGGAAGGGACUGUUCUCUCCCUGUCUCCUACAUUACCUGCAUGUUCCACAGGUCAGCUUCAUUUGGCAGAAGUUGUUCCUGCAACCCAUCUACUCAUAUAGCGCCUUAUGGAGGUGCAGCUCUUGGGCCUUUUAAUGUUAUUUCCCUACCAGAAAGUGAAGCACCAAAUAACAGCCUGUUGUUAUUUCUUUGUCUGUAUGUGGACUACUGACCCAGAAAGCCGUAACUAUAGAUCUUCCCAGUUCCAUUUAACUGGAAUAACCACAAGGAAAAGAAGAGAGGAGAAAAAUAUCAAUGACUGCAAAAACCAAUCAAACUACUGCUCCUUUUCUCAGAUGGUCUUGUUUUUAUUGGAGGAAUAAGCCUUCUCUUAAAUUAACACCUCCUGAUAAAAUACCGUUGUUUGUGGAAUCUUUCAGUAAGACUCCAUGUGAGAUUCAGACUUAUCCUCUAUUUUUGCCACUGAUAUUAGAUUUUCAGUCUAUUCCCUGUGUGGAAAUACCCUGCCCCAAGAACACCUUACCACAUCUGUUGAGUGUGCAGGGCCACUUGCCUCCUUCCCCUGUACGUACACACAGCUCCCUCCUCUGUCACACCCAGUGACUUUACAUUUCUGCUUUGCUUCUCAGCACCCUUCACAUCUGGACUUGGGCCAGAGGACAAUCACUGACAGACCUUCUGCUUCUGGAGCAAAUAAGGGUUUGUGGUUUUGGUUGGACUAAAGAGAUUUUCAGAACAUUUUAUUUCCUUUAUAGUGGGUGACUGUUGAUAACACAUCCUACUUCAUGCUGCAUCUCUCCAUGUUGUCUGUUACACCACUGCUGAACCUCUAUGUCACCCAUGGGGAUUGGUGCUUGCCCAGUUCCCUUUCCAUGCUAUCCCUAUUGCUAUCCAGGACAGAUUGCUCAGCAGAAAAGCAAUUCAGUCAGCUAAUGGGCUGCUAUAUGUAGCAUGCAGGUUUAUUUGUUUUGGAGAGGUGAGCCCCCCACAGCUGUCCAAGCUUGAUAGAUGACUUUGAUAGCGAUGAUGGGGGAGCCUUCAUUCUGCCAUUCUCAAAGACAUCUGUGUUCACAGAGAAAUGAGGAAGCUGGAGCUUGUUAUGUACCAUCUACAGUUAGAAGAGCUAUCUACAUGUUUGACUGAAAAUGCUACCACAUAACAUAUAUAUAAUUAUGGACUUGGUUAUAAGAGGACGUCUAAUGGAGCAGAUGUGUACAAAGGAUAUUUGACAGUAAAAACUGAACAUGGC